GAUGAACGCUAGCUACAGGCUUAACACAUGCAAGUCGCGGGGCAGCAUGGGGGUUGCUUGCACUCCCCGAUGGCGACCGGCGCACGGGUGAGUAACGCGUAUCCAACCUGCCCUUCACCACGGGAUAACCCGGCGAAAGUCGGACUAAUACCGUAUGUUGUCCAUUGACGGCAUCCGAUUUGGACGAAAGGUUUGGCGGUGAAGGAUGGGGAUGCGUCCGAUUAGCUGGACGGCGGGGUGACGGCCCACCGUGGCGACGAUCGGUAGGGGUUCUGAGAGGAAGGUCCCCCACACUGGAACUGAGACACGGUCCAGACUCCUACGGGAGGCAGCAGUGAGGAAUAUUGGUCAAUGGGCGUAAGCCUGAACCAGCCAAGUAGCGUGCAGGAGGACGGCCCUAUGGGUUGUAAACUGCUUUUAUGCGGGGAUAAAGUGGCCCACGUGUGGGUUUUUGCAGGUACCGCAUGAAUAAGGACCGGCUAAUUCCGUG
RNAcentral lists this ribosomal RNA (490 nucleotides) under uncultured bacterium. RNAcentral's name for it is "partial 16S ribosomal RNA". It matches the Rfam family "Bacterial small subunit ribosomal RNA", at positions 28 to 507 of the family's 1533-position model. The record is from RNAcentral.